Molecule: non-coding RNA, 23 nt
Filed under: Drosophila melanogaster (fruit fly)
Lineage: Eukaryota; Metazoa; Arthropoda; Insecta; Diptera; Drosophilidae
Source: RNAcentral
CCCGAAAAACGAGUAAAUCUGUC